RNAcentral lists this ribosomal RNA (820 nucleotides) under Apiospora guizhouensis. RNAcentral's name for it is "Arthrinium guizhouense partial large subunit ribosomal RNA". It matches the Rfam family "Eukaryotic large subunit ribosomal RNA", at positions 71 to 917 of the family's 3401-position model. Lineage: Eukaryota; Fungi; Ascomycota; Sordariomycetes; Amphisphaeriales; Apiosporaceae. The record is from RNAcentral.
GGGAUUCCCCUAGUAACGGCGAGUGAAGCGGGAACAGCUCAAAUUUGAAAUCUGGCCCUUGGGUCCGAGUUGUAAUUUGCAGAGGAUGCUUUUGGUGCGGUGCCUUCCGAGUUCCCUGGAACGGGACGCCUUAGAGGGUGAGAGCCCCGUACGGUUGGACACCAAGCCUAUGUAAAGCUCCUUCGACGAGUCGAGUAGUUUGGGAAUGCUGCUCAAAAUGGGAGGUAUAUUUCUUCUAAAGCUAAAUAUUGGCCAGAGACCGAUAGCGCACAAGUAGAGUGAUCGAAAGAUGAAAAGCACUUUGAAAAGAGGGUUAAAUAGCACGUGAAAUUGUUGAAAGGGAAGGAUUUAUGACCAGACUUUUUCUAGGGGGAUCAUCCGGUGUUCUCACCGGUGCACUUCCCCUAGUUGAGGCCAGCAUCGGUUUCUGUCGGGGGAUAAAAGCUUUAGGAAUGUGGCUCCCUCCGGGGAGUGUUAUAGCCUGUUGCAUAAUACCCUGACGGGGACCGAGGUUCGCGCAUUGCAAGGAUGCUGGCGUAAUGGUUAUUAAUCACCCGUCUUGAAACACGGACCAAGGAGUCGAACAUUUGUGCGAGUGUUUGGGUGUUAAACCCUCACGCGUAAUGAAAGUGAACGGAGGUGAGAGCCUUUCGGGGUGCAUCAUCGACCGAUCCUGAUGUCUUCGGAUGGAUUUGAGUAAGAGCAUUAAUGUUCGGACCCGAAAGAUGGUGAACUAUGCGUGGAUAGGGUGAAGCCAGAGGAAACUCUGGUGGAGGCUCGCAGCGGUUCUGACGUGCAAAUCGAUCGUCAAAUCUGCGCA